CAGCAGCCGCGGGAAAACGGAGGAUCCGAGCGUUAUCCGGAAUUAUUGGGUUUAAAGGGUGCGUAGGCGGAUAGAUAAGUCAGUGGUGAAAGACGGUGGCUCAACCAUCGCAGUGCCGUUGAUACUGUUUAUCUUGAAUAUGGAUGAGGUAGGCGGAAUGUGGCAAGUAGCGGUGAAAUGUAUAGAUAUGCCACAGAACACCGAUUGCGAAGGCAGCUUACCAAGGCAAAAUUGACGCUGAGGCACGAAAGCGUGGGGAUCGAACAGGAUUAGAUACCCGUGUAGUCCCUGUCUCUUAUAC
Molecule: ribosomal RNA, 301 nt
Filed under: uncultured bacterium
Lineage: Bacteria
Description: partial 16S ribosomal RNA
Rfam family: Bacterial small subunit ribosomal RNA
Source: RNAcentral